GUUAUAAGCCCACAAAUGUGUAACUCGACUACUUCUUUAAAGUGACACCAGGCCCGGUGACCUUUGGGACAUGGUUUGACCCCCUUACGAAUGUGCUAUCAUCGUGAAACAUUCAGAUCACUUACAACUCAAUAGAUUCUACCUUCCUGUAAUUUUUCGGCCUGAUUGGUCCUUGUUUUCACACAAAUGGACCCAGAAUGAUGUGAAAUUGUGCUUUGUGCGACAUAAUUCUGGGUGCCAUUAAAGAGCAAGUAACGUCUAAAUUAACUUUUUUUUGCUGAUGAACUGUAUAAAUGAGUGUCUAAUAGUGUUUUAAAUGUGUGCAUUUUUUAUUUUAGCAUUUUGGUGCAUUUUCUUUAAAAAUUAAAAAUUCUGUCCAAAAACCACAGUAAUGCGCCACCUUCAGCUGAAAACAUAGAAUUUGAGUCAUUUUGAAUAAAUUUUAGCCAAUGGCUAAAGAGUAAAGUACUAUGUAAACCAGUAGAGUACUACGUAGCAGCUCCGUGCCAAAGUUAUAAAAGCAACGAGCGUCUCGGCCACGCCCUGUGGCGAGUGGGAGUUGGAUUUGCAAGUGAGUGUAGGAGGUCAGCGGUAGUUCAGCAUUAGCAUUUAGCAUUAGCAUAUCCUAGUCUUAGCAUAUCUUUUAGUGUUAUAAAUACUUAUUUAGUGUUAGAUUUGGCUGUUUGAUAUUGUAGUUUAGUUAGUGUUUGGCUGUUAGUGUAAUUGGGAAAGUAUUUCGGGUUUAGUGCUCCAUAUCGUCUUAGUAUUGGUGAGUAGGUGUAGUGUAGUAUGCUUGCGGUGACUCUGUGGGCAUUUUACCUGCGAUUCUGCACGUCUCCGUUUGAAGAGGGAGGCUGCCCACCGUGGCUCUUCCGCGAUUUAGAUGCAGCCCACCGACUCUGCUCCCCCACCACGGUGGGCUCCAGUCUGAGGUGAGUAAGCUAAAUAAACGUUUUAACAUCUUCUAAAGACAAUUCCCUACCUAAAUGCAAAGUUUGAGAGACGUGGUUCACUUCCUUUAGCUAGUCAGUCGGCAAUUCUGCAAAAGUGGCUCUAACUGACGCAGCACUUGACAGACAGCAUUACAGCGUGAAAUCCAGCUUGUGAACAGGUUCUGUGAGGAAUUCUGUUCAGGAGGUCGCAUUUCAGGCUCUCCACAUCAUGUGUGACUGACUUUUACGUUAUAAUGAUCACACACUAGGAAUGUUAUAAAGCGCCUAUAUGGGACAGUUUCUUUUGUAUAUUAUCUGACUUUAUAAACUCUCAACAACAAUGUGCUUAUAUAUUUUUUUCAGGCUAAAUCUACCCAAGACACUGGCUGUCAGACUGAUUUAGCUGCAAGAAUGCACUUGUCCAGGCUGACGUGAAACCUUCCCUGUAGCAAAGCCAGCCAGAAUGGAGUUCACAGCCGCAGAGUGUCUGGUGACCCACGGGGACCAUGAUGAAAAUUCAUCUUCCAGAAGGUCCCAGAGCAGCGGCCGCACCCCCUGAAAAGACCAAGGUGUGAGGUGUCUGCUGUUGAUUCCAGCUUCCACCUCAGUGACGGUGCAAGCUCAGUGAACUGUUCAAGCCUGGCUGAUCACCUGAUAACUCCUGUCAUCUGGUUAUGACAGCAUGAGGAUGUCCUCACACACCUGUAACCUAUCAGCUCAUCUGGCAGAAUAGAGAGAGAAGAGACAAAACCACAUCUC
Non-coding RNA from Nothobranchius furzeri (turquoise killifish), 1691 nucleotides. The record is from RefSeq and is a predicted model, not a curated record. Lineage: Eukaryota; Metazoa; Chordata; Actinopteri; Cyprinodontiformes; Nothobranchiidae.